UACGUAGGGGGCAAGCGUUGUCCGGAAUCAUUGGGCGUAAAGCGCGCGUAGGCGGCCCGGUAAGUCCGCUCUGAAAGUCCAGGGCUCAACCCUGGAAAGCGGGUGGAUACUGCCGGGCUAGAAUCCGGAAGAGGCGAGCGGAAUUCCUGGUGUAGCGGUGGAAUGCGCAGAUAUCAGGAGGAACACCAAUAGCGAAGGCAGCUCGCUGGGACGGUAUUGACGCUAAGGCGCGAAAGCGUGGGGAGCAAACAGG
RNAcentral lists this ribosomal RNA (253 nucleotides) under uncultured bacterium. Its description in RNAcentral is "partial 16S ribosomal RNA". It matches the Rfam family "Bacterial small subunit ribosomal RNA", at positions 524 to 776 of the family's 1533-position model. The record is from RNAcentral.